CUUCAAAGUAAGACCAUUUUUUUUUUUCUUUUCCUAGUGCUAUGUUGGGUGUGACAACAGGCUGAAAAUGCCACCCAUCCUCUCUCAGACCACAAACAGAGCUGAAUCAGUGAGCCUAGACUAAUAAACAAGGGCGUAGACCAGAGGAGGAGACCAAGACGUGAUGAGCCCAGAGGAGGAAAAAGAAAGCAAGAAGAAAAAAGCACUGCAGCUUCUAGUGCAAGGGUGGAAGCACACGAGACCUGAUCUGGUUUUGAACAUUUGGAAGAACCUGUGUUGCCUUCCAGUUAAAUAGAUGUCUUACACAAUGUUAUCUGUCAACCACCAGAGGAGACAUCUUCAGAUUUUAUCGACAAAGUGUCUUCAGACCUAAACACCCUGGCACAAUUGUUAUCCUUGGCAGGGUGUUGACUGGGCAAUGGAAAACAAGCCGAGACACCCCAGCAGGGCGGGGCCAGCUGCCUCUGUGUCCUCUGCUCGUCCACAUCUAAACUGUCCUAGGGCAGUGUCCCAUGGGGGAGGCUAGCAGUUGUCCAGUGCUGCUUAUGACCAGGCGGAUGGUUCCUGUUUUUCCCUUACACUCAUCCAAAGGCCCUUGCUACAAACUCUGAAAUUGAGUUUUAGAAGAAGCAUCAAAGAAUCUCAAAAACAGAUGGUAUCUGACACCUAUCAGAUUCUACCCAAGGACAGAAUUAGAAUUUUCAGGAUUCUUUUAGUUAUGAAGUAGAGUUUAACCCAAGAUCACAAAAUAAGAACUAAUUACCUAGGGCUGAAAUAAUGAACUUGAUUGUGCUUAAUGUUUCAUUGUGAAUUACUCCUUAAGACAUCUUGAUCUCUCAGCUGAACAUUGAACACAUUUUCACUUGGAGACUUGUCCUAACUGAUCCCUAAGGUUUCAGAAAACUUUCUAUAAAGGCUCUUCUGAUAAGCUGUCAAGAAAACUCAAACAAUAAUGACUCAUCAUAAAAGAUGUCAUAUAUUGAUUGAUCUACUUAGAAAAGUAGUUAAA
Molecule: long non-coding RNA, 1009 nt
Organism: Cervus elaphus (red deer)
Lineage: Eukaryota; Metazoa; Chordata; Mammalia; Artiodactyla; Cervidae
Exons: 6
Source: RefSeq, a predicted model, not a curated record